GACGAACGCUGGCGGCGUGCUUAACACAUGCAAGUCGAACGGAAAGGCCCUGCUUUUGUGGGGUUCUCGAGUGGCGAACGGGUGAGUAACACGUGAGUAACCUGCCCUUCACUUUGGGAUAACUUCACGAAACUGGGGCUAAUACCGUAUAGGAUCUCCUGUUGCAUGGAGGGGGUUGGAAAGUUUCGGCGGUUGGGGAUGGACUCGCGGCUUAUCAGUUUGUUGGUUGGGUAGGGGCUGACCAAGGAUUUGACGGGUAGCCGGCCUGAGAGGGUGACCGGGGACAUUGGGACUACGAGACGGCCCAGACUGCUACGGGAGGCAGCAGUGGGGAACAUUGCCCAGUGGGCGGAAGCCUGAUGAGAAGACGCCGCGUGCGGGAUGACGGCCUUCGGGUUAUAAAACGCUUUCGCCUGUGACGAAGCGUGAGUGACGGUAAUGGGUAAAGAAGCACCGGCUAACUACGUG
This 468-nucleotide ribosomal RNA is filed under the name uncultured bacterium. Its description in RNAcentral is "partial 16S ribosomal RNA". It matches the Rfam family "Bacterial small subunit ribosomal RNA", at positions 28 to 507 of the family's 1533-position model. The record is from RNAcentral.